AAUAAGCGCAGUUUCACACUAUCCACGUUCAACGUUUGAUCGUUCGUCUUAUUUGAAAAUUUUUUAUGAUUAGUAUUUUUAUUGCUAUUAGAUGAUAAAAUAUGAAUAGUACUUUAUGUGUGACUAAUUUUUUUUUAUUUUUUUCACAAAAUUUUCAAAUAAGACGGACGGUCAAAUGUUAGACACGGAUAUUCACGGCUGCACUUAUU
Molecule: non-coding RNA, 209 nt
Organism: Oryza nivara
Lineage: Eukaryota; Viridiplantae; Streptophyta; Magnoliopsida; Poales; Poaceae
Source: Rfam